GACGAACGCUGGCGGCGUGCCUAACACAUGCAAGUCGAACGGAAAGGCCCUGCUUUUGUGGGGUGCUCGAGUGGCGAACGGGUGAGUAACACGUGAGUAACCUGCCCUUGACUUUGGGAUAACUUCAGGAAACUGGGGCUAAUACCGGAUAGGAGCUCCUGCUGCAUGGUGGGGGUUGGAAAGUUUCGGCGGUUGGGGAUGGACUCGCGGCUUAUCAGCUUGUUGGUGGGGUAGUGGCUUACCAAGGCUUUGACGGGUAGCCGGCCUGAGAGGGUGACCGGCCACAUUGGGACUGAGAUACGGCCCAGACUCCUACGGGAGGCAGCAGUGGGGAAUAUUGCACAAUGGGCGGAAGCCUGAUGCAGCAACGCCGCGUGCGGGAUGACGGCCUUCGGGUUGUAAACCGCUUUCGCCUGUGACGAAGCGUGAGUGACGGUAAUGGGUAAAGAAGCACCGGCUAACUACGUGCCAGCAGCCGCGGUGAUACGUAGGGUGCGAGCGUUGUCCGGAUUUAUUGGGCGUAAAGGGCUCGUAGGUGGUUGAUCGCGUCGGAAGUGUAAUCUUGGGGCUUAACCCUGAGCGUGCUUUCGAUACGGGUUGACUUGAGGAAGGUAGGGGAGAAUGGAAUUCCUGGUGGAGCGGUGGAAUGCGCAGAUAUCAGGAGGAACACCAGUGGCGAAGGCGGUUCUCUGGGCCUUUCCUGACGCUGAGGAGCGAAAGCGUGGGGAGCGAACAGGCUUAGAUACCCUGGUAGUCCACGCUGUAAACGGUGGGUACUAGGUGUGGGGUCCAUUCCACGGGUUCCGUGCCGUAGCUAACGCUUUAAGUACCCCGCCUGGGGAGUACGGCCGCAAGGCUAAAACUCAAAGGAAUUGACGGGGCCCCGCACAAGCGGCGGAGCAUGCGGAUUAAUUCGAUGCAACGCGUAGAACCUUACCUGGGUUUGACAUGGAUCGGGAGUGCUCAGAGAUGGGUGUGCCUCUUUUGGGGUCGGUUCACAGGUGGUGCAUGGCUGUCGUCAGCUCGUGUCGUGAGAUGUUGGGUUAAGUCCCGCAACGAGCGCAACCCUUGUUCACUGUUGCCAGCACGUUAUGGUGGGGACUCAGUGGAGACCGCCGGGGUCAACUCGGAGGAAGGUGGGGAUGACGUCAAGUCAUCAUGCCCCUUAUGUCCAGGGCUUCACGCAUGCUACAAUGGCUGGUACAGAGAGUGGCGAGCCUGUGAGGGUGAGCGAAUCUCCGGAAAGCCGGUCUCAGUUCGGAUUGGGGUCUGCAACUCGACCUCAUGAAGUCGGAGUCGCUAGUAAUCGCAGAUCAGCAACGCUGCGGUGAGUACGUUCCCGGGGCU
Molecule: ribosomal RNA, 1347 nt
Filed under: uncultured bacterium
Lineage: Bacteria
Description: partial 16S ribosomal RNA
Rfam family: Bacterial small subunit ribosomal RNA
Source: RNAcentral